UGCAUUCAUUACUGUAAGUCACUCUGGAUAAGAGCGUCUGCUAAAUGAUUGUAU
Salmo salar (Atlantic salmon) is the source of this 54-nucleotide non-coding RNA. Lineage: Eukaryota; Metazoa; Chordata; Actinopteri; Salmoniformes; Salmonidae. The record is from Rfam.